GAUGAACGCUGGCGGCGUGCCUAAUACAUGCAAGUCGAGCGAACGGACGAGAAGCUUGCUUCUUUGAUGUUAGCGGCGGACGGGUGAGUAACACGUGUAUAACCUACCUAUAAUACUGGGAUAAUCUCGGGAAACCGGAUCUAAUACCGUAUAAUAUUUUGAACCGCAUGGUUCAAAGGUGAAAGACGGUCUUUCUGUCACUUAUAGCUGGAUCCGCGCUGCAUGAGCUAGUUGGUAAGGUAACGGCUUACCAAGGCGACGAUGCAUAGCCGACCUGAGAGGGGGAUCGGGGACUGAGGAGCUGAGACGCGGUACAGACACCGACGGGAGGCAGCAGUAGCGAAUGGUGCGAGAAGGGCGAAAGACUGAAGGAGGAACGCAGCGUGAGUGAAGCAGGUCUUCGGGUGGUAAAACUCUGUUAUUAGGGAAGACCGUAUGUGUAAGUAACUGUGCACAUGUGGCCGGAACCUAAUAAGAAAGCCCCGGCUACCUAGGU
Molecule: ribosomal RNA, 496 nt
Filed under: uncultured bacterium
Lineage: Bacteria
Description: partial 16S ribosomal RNA
Rfam family: Bacterial small subunit ribosomal RNA
Source: RNAcentral